Molecule: long non-coding RNA, 426 nt
Filed under: Brassica napus (rape)
Lineage: Eukaryota; Viridiplantae; Streptophyta; Magnoliopsida; Brassicales; Brassicaceae
Description: long non-coding RNA (BNAP_LNC014838)
Source: RNAcentral
AGUAUAUGAUUAACGUUAAAAAUAUAUACCACUUAUGUUCUAAAAUAAUAAUUUAUGUAUAAAAAAAUGAAAACAAACAUCCGCGCGGUUGCGCGGAUCAAAAUCUAGUUAUUUUUAAAUUGAUGGUCAUGUUUUUAGGCGUCUAGUAAGGUUUUUUUUUCAGUUAAAUUGAUCUGUGAAUGCAUUAUUGAGUUUGUUUUGUCUAAUAUCCAUAUUUUGUAUUAAUGAACUUUAGUUAUUGGGUUAUUAGUGGACUUUAACUUGAUUGGGUACAUAAAAAUUAAAUGAAAGGUUAACUGAACUAAAGAAGAAGAAAAAAAGUACUUUUAUUGUUUCUCUCUCAGCCGACUCAACCUAAUUUUCUUCUUUCUUUCACUAUCUCAUCCGGCCCGUAUUCUUUUUUCAUCACCUCACCUUCGUCUUCAC